Molecule: ribosomal RNA, 254 nt
Filed under: uncultured bacterium
Lineage: Bacteria
Description: partial 16S ribosomal RNA
Rfam family: Bacterial small subunit ribosomal RNA
Source: RNAcentral
CUGGGUUGGAUGAGUGGCGAACGGGUGAGUAACACGUGAGUAACCUGCCCUCUUCUUUGGGAUAACGGUCGGAAACGGCUGCUAAUACCGGGUAUUCACUGUCCCUCGCAUGGGGGGUGGUGGAAAGGUUUUUUCUGGUGGGGGAUGGGCUCGCGGCCUAUCAGCUUGUUGGUGGGGUGAUGGCUUACCAAGGCUUUGACGGGUAACCGGCCUGAGAGGGUGACCGGUCACAUUGGGACUGAGAUACGGCCCAG